GCUGCCUUUCGGGGCGGCUCCCCUUAAAUGCAUCGGUUGUGGCCCGUUCGGCUUUCAGUCCUCGGCGUUGUAUUGCCCUCGCCUUGCGUCUUGUCGGCAGCGCCCUUCCCCGACCGCCUCUGGAGCGGCGGUCAGCAACGGAGGCUUUCGGGCCUUUGAAAUCUGACCUCAAAUCAGGUAGGACUACCCGCUGAACUUAA
RNAcentral lists this unclassified non-coding RNA (200 nucleotides) under soil metagenome. RNAcentral describes it as "partial contains internal transcribed spacer 2 and large subunit ribosomal RNA". The record is from RNAcentral.